Molecule: long non-coding RNA, 205 nt
Filed under: Capsella rubella
Lineage: Eukaryota; Viridiplantae; Streptophyta; Magnoliopsida; Brassicales; Brassicaceae
Description: long non-coding RNA (CRUB_LNC003097)
Source: RNAcentral
UACGUUUUACAGCCUUACAUUUAUCGCAUGUUUAACAUGUUCGCUUAGGAUCACUGAAAACCAAAAAUCAUUUAUGCUUGCUUGACUUAAUCAUUUCCGAUAUAUCUUGAUUGCUAGCAUCACACCUGAUUGGAUUGAUACCUAUUGUACUGCAAUGACAUGAUAGUACUCUAGAGAAAUUGAUAGCAAAAUCCUAGUAUCAAGA